This 207-nucleotide ribosomal RNA is filed under the name uncultured bacterium. RNAcentral's name for it is "partial 16S ribosomal RNA". It matches the Rfam family "Bacterial small subunit ribosomal RNA", at positions 568 to 774 of the family's 1533-position model. The record is from RNAcentral.
CGCGUAGGCGGUCUUCUAUGUCAGAUGUGAAAGCCCGGGGCUCAACCCCGGAAGUGCAUUUGAAACUGGGAGACUUGAGUAUGGGAGAGGGAAGUGGAAUUCCUGGUGUAGCGGUGAAAUGCGUAGAUAUCAGGAGGAACACCGGUGGCGAAGGCGACUUCCUGGACCAAUACUGACGCUGAGGCGCGAAGGCGUGGGGAGCAAACA